GACGAACGCUGGCUGCGUGCUUAACACAUGCAAGUCGAACGGAAAGGCCCUGCUUUUGUGGGGUGCUCGAGUGGCGAACGGGUGAGUAACACGUGAGUAACCUGCCCUUGACUUUGGGAUAACUUCAGGAAACUGGGGCUAAUACCGGAUAGGAGCUCCUGCUGCAUGGUGGGGGUUGGAAAGUUUCGGCGGUUGGGGAUGGACUCGCGGCUUAUCAGCUUGUUGGUGGGGUAGUGGCUUACCAAGGCUUUGACGGGUAGCCGGCCUGAGAGGGUGACCGGCCACAUUGGGACUGAGAUACGGCCCAGACUCCUACGGGAGGCAGCAGUGGGGAAUACUGCACAAUGGGCGGAAGCCUGAUGCAGCAACGCCGCGUGCGGGAUGACGGCCUUCGGGUUGUAAACCGCUUUCGCCUGUGACGAAGCGUGAGUGACGGUAAUGGGUAAAGAAGCACCGGCUAACUACGUG
Molecule: ribosomal RNA, 468 nt
Filed under: uncultured bacterium
Lineage: Bacteria
Description: partial 16S ribosomal RNA
Rfam family: Bacterial small subunit ribosomal RNA
Source: RNAcentral